RNAcentral lists this ribosomal RNA (406 nucleotides) under uncultured bacterium. Its description in RNAcentral is "partial 16S ribosomal RNA". It matches the Rfam family "Bacterial small subunit ribosomal RNA", at positions 29 to 526 of the family's 1533-position model. The record is from RNAcentral.
AUUGAACGCUGGCGGCAGGCCUAACACAUGCAAGUCGAACGAGUGGCGGACGGGUGAGUAAUGUCUGGGACACUGCCUGAUGGAGGGGGAUAACUACUGGAAACGGUAGCUAAUACCGCAUACCAUCGGAGGGGCCCAGAUGGGAUUAGCUAGUAGGUGGGGUAACGGCUCACCUAGGCGACGAUCCCUAGCUGGUCUGAGAGGAUGAACAGCCACAGUGGAACUGUAACACGGGCUAGAGUCCUACGCGAGGCCGCAGUGGGGAAUAGUGCACGAUGGGCGCAAGCCUGAUGCAGCCAUGCCGCGUGUAUGAAGAAGGCCAUCGAGUUGUAAAGUACUUUCAGCGGGGAGGCGUUACCCGCAGGAGAAGCGCCGGCUAACUCCGUGCCAGCCGCCGCGGUAAGUC